Molecule: small RNA, 1014 nt
Filed under: Arabidopsis thaliana (thale cress)
Lineage: Eukaryota; Viridiplantae; Streptophyta; Magnoliopsida; Brassicales; Brassicaceae
Description: ATSL211270
Source: RNAcentral
AUUUUGAUUAUUUGUUCCAUAAUUAUUAAAAUUUGAACAUUUUUGUUGUUAGCGCAAGAUUCAAUCCUUGCUUUGGGGAAAAAUUAAAGCUAUACGUAAUUUCACUGAUCGUUUUUGGAAAGAAACAUGGAAAUUAAAAGGUGAGCUUUUUUUUUAGUUGCUGCUUCUCUAUUGAUGAGUUCCUAGCGUUAUGUGGAAUCUAGAAACUUUGUGAUUUUGUUUAUAAUCUAUGCUUACUCUUUUCUCAUGUUUACGCUUCUAGAUGAUAAACAACGAACACGUUGGAAUAAGUCCUACAACAUCUUGUUUGGGAUGGAGCCAGGAAGUUCUGAGAUGAAUCUAUCUUAUAUGCCCAACUACAAAGGACUUUGUUGAUUUCAUGUUUGAAAAGCAAAAGCCUAUCCAAUUCUUCACUCCAACGGUUAAUUUUAACCACAUUCGCGGUUCUACUAUAUAUCCUUAAUGAAAUGUAGAUUCUAGGACCUUAAAAUUGUUUUUCCUCUGUGGCAGAGAACUUUUUCUACAUCGAUGCCCAUGAAAGUCUCUUGACUUCUUGCCUCCUACUAUUUUAUGCAUCCUAAAGCGAAUCUCGAUAAGGUUGUAAUCUCUAUUAUAUCCAUCCUAAACACCGUUUGUGUAUUCUCCAUGUGUUUGAUUCCUUUUGAAUGUUUUGGUUCCUAGCUGAAACUCCAAUAUGAGGGGUUAGAGCAUUAGUUAUUCAACCUAAAACUCCAUUAUCUCUGACUCAAAGACCUAUCAUUGUCUUUAGUGUGACUCCAAAUUAUGAGGCUUUCUCUCUACCUUGCAAGAUCAAACUUGAAAGAAAUCUUGAUAAAAUCCUAACUUCAGGAAAAUUGUGUAUAUACAUAUGUCGUUUAAUCGAUACUCUACAUGUUUGCUUGUUUAACAACGAUAUGUGUGUACGUUUUGUGCAUACUAUUUUCAGCAAAUAGUUUUUUUCAUAGAGAAAUUAAAUUUUAGUAAAUACACGAAUAUUAUAAUUAUGAUCUCACA